GUUUGGGUAGCUCAGUGGUAGAGCAGAAGACUGAAAAUCUUUGUGUCAAAGGUUCAAUUCCUUUUCUAGACA
RNAcentral lists this transfer RNA (72 nucleotides) under Goniomonas avonlea. Its description in RNAcentral is "tRNA-Phe". It matches the Rfam family "tRNA". From Rfam's summary of the family: Transfer RNA (tRNA) molecules are approximately 80 nucleotides in length. Their secondary structure includes four short double-helical elements and three loops (D, anti-codon, and T loops). Further hydrogen bonds mediate the characteristic L-shaped molecular structure. tRNAs have two regions of fundamental functional importance: the anti-codon, which is responsible for specific mRNA codon recognition, and the 3' end, to which the tRNAs corresponding amino acid is attached (by aminoacyl-tRNA synthetases). tRNAs cope with the degeneracy of the genetic code in two manners: having more than one tRNA (with a specific anti-codon) for a particular amino acid; and 'wobble' base-pairing, i.e. permitting non-standard base-pairing at the 3rd anti-codon position. The record is from RNAcentral. Lineage: Eukaryota; Cryptophyceae; Goniomonadida; Goniomonadaceae.